Long non-coding RNA from Myxocyprinus asiaticus (Chinese sucker), 564 nucleotides. RefSeq lists it as uncharacterized. The transcript is spliced from 4 exons. NCBI's taxonomy places the organism in Eukaryota, Metazoa, Chordata, Actinopteri, Cypriniformes, Catostomidae. The record is from RefSeq and is a predicted model, not a curated record.
CAGGAACUCAGAGAGGCUGGGUUUUGAGCGCUUGGGCCUAUGGAAAGAGAAAAUUUAAACUCCAUUCUUUUGAAAAAGCCAAGAAAGUGACACAAGGUCUGUGACAUUGGCAGACGGUUCUGGUAAUCUUUCUGAGUGCACAGACCUGCAGACAAGGUAAUGCGUGACUGCAGUCCUCUUCACUGGUCCGUUACGGCUGAAGUCAAAGCCAGGCUGGCAAUGGAUGUCCUGAGGGUUCCCCACAUAAGAGCCGUCAUAGCAUUCAUUAAUUGACACAUCUAUCCUGGCUCCUUUAGGGACUCUCCUCCAUCUCCUGCAUAGAGAAUUCAUACUCACCAUCCAAAAGCUGGAGACGUCUGUUAAAGAACACAAAGUCCUUUACAAACCAAACAAAAAUGACAACAGAAUGCAUUCCAACACUAAAAGAUUUCUCCAUCAUCCGGACGAGAAGAAAAUCUCUUCUUUCUGUUGGACAUCUCUUCAAUAACAUCUGAGAACAAAAUAAAUCUACCUGAAUUCCUUCUUCUGAAAAGGCCUUCUUAACACUGAUAACAUUCUAUUAUC